This 1376-nucleotide ribosomal RNA is filed under the name uncultured bacterium. Its description in RNAcentral is "partial 16S ribosomal RNA". It matches the Rfam family "Bacterial small subunit ribosomal RNA", at positions 29 to 1379 of the family's 1533-position model. The record is from RNAcentral.
ACGAACGCUGGCGGCGUGGAUAAGACAUGCAAGUCGGACGGGAUUACUUUUGGUAGCAAUACCGAAAGUGAUCCAGUGGCGAACGGGUGCGUAACACGUGGGCAAUCUACCGAGAAGUGGGGGAUAGCUCGCCGAAAGGCGAAUUAAUACCGCAUGUGAUCAGAGGCGACAUCGCUUCGAAAUCAAAGGUGGCGCAAGCUACCGCUUUUUGAGGAGCCCGCGGCCUAUCAGCUUGUUGGUGAGGUAACGGCUCACCAAGGCAUUGACGGGUAGCUGGUCUGAGAGGACGACCAGUCACACUGGGACUGAGACACGGCCCAGACACCUACGGGUGGCAGCAGUCGAGAAUUUUUCUCAAUGGGGGAAACCCUGAAGGAGCGACGCCGCGUGGAGGAUGAAGGUCUUCGGAUUGUAAACUCCUGUCAUUUGGGAACAAGGUGUGCGCGUUAACUGCGCGCGCAUUGAUAGUACCAGAAGAGGAAGAGACGGCUAACUCUGUGCCAGCAGCCGCGGUAAUACAGAGGUCUCAAGCGUUGUUCGGAUUCAUUGGGCGUAAAGGGUGCGUAGGCGGCGCGGUAAGUCGGGUGUGAAAUUUCGAGGCUUAACUUCGAAACUGCAUUCGAUACUGCCGUGCUUGAGGACUGGAGAGGAGACUGGAAUUUACGGUGUAGCGGUGAAAUGCGUUGAUAUCGUAAGGAAGACCAGUGGCGAAGGCGGGUCUCUGGACAGUUCCUGACGCUGAGGCACGAAGGCCAGGGGAGCAAACGGGAUUAGAUACCCCGGUAGUCCUGGCAAUAAACGGUGCACGUUUGGUGUGGGAGGAUUCGACCCCUUCUGCGCCGGAGCUAACGCGUUAAACGUGCCGCCUGGGGAGUACGGUCGCAAGAUUAAAACUCAAAGAAAUUGACGGGGGCCCGCACAAGCGGUGGAGUAUGUGGCUUAAUUCGAUGCAACGCGAAGAACCUUACCUGGCCUUGACAUGCAUCUCUAAGCUGGUGAAAGCCAGUGAGUCCCGAAAGGGACAAUUUGCACAGGUGCUGCAUGGCUGUCGUCAGCUCGUGUCGUGAGAUGUUGGGUUAAGUCCCGCAACGAGCGCAACCCUUAUCAAUAGUUGCCAGCGGUUCGGCCGGGCACUCUAUUGAGACUGCCGUUGACAAAACGGAGGAAGGUGGGGAUGACGUCAAGUCCUCAUGGCCUUUAUGUCCAGGGCUACACACGUGCUACAAUGGCGAGUACAAAGCGCUGCAAACCUGCAAAGGGGAGCCAAUCGCAAAAAGCUCGUCUCAGUUCGGAUUGGAGUCUGCAACUCGACUCCAUGAAGCUGGAAUCGCUAGUAAUCGCAGAUCAGCACGCUGCGGUGAAUACGUUCCCNGGGU